GCAACAACCUAGAUGGAUGUACAGCCAUCAAGAGGAUCUUAAAGUGUGGUCUUUAGUGGAAAAAAAGCAGAAGCAAUGUAUGGGAGACUGAGUAAUUACAUAUAAGCUCACAUCACUAUCUCUUCCACCACUGUCAUCCAUCAUGACUGAUCUGGGAGAUGAAACAGCACAGAUCUAAAGGACGUGGCUGGAGUGCAAUGGCAUGGUAUCGGCUCACUGCAACCUCUGUCUCCUGGGUUCAAGCGAUUUUUCUGCCUCAGCCUCCCAAGUAGCUGGGAUUACAGGCAUGCGUCAUCAUACCUAGCUAAUUUGUCCCAUAGAAUCUCAUCUUCUGGAUUUUGUGGCUAUUUUUUCAUGGUGUUGAUUCAUUCAUAAGGUAAAAUUUAUAUACAGUGAAAUGCAUCUUAUGGGUACAAUUCAAUGAGUUUUGAAAAGUGUGUACAUCCAUGUAACCACCACCCAGAUUAAGACACAGAACAUUCCCGUCACCUCAGAAUGUUUCCCGGUGCCUUCUUCCUACCCCUCAUACAGUAACAUUGUAAUAAUUUCUAUUGCCACAUAUAUGUUUACCUGUUCUGAAACUUCACAGAAAUGGAAUUAUAUAUUAUGUAUUUGUUUGUUACUGGCUUUUUAUCAUUUAAUAUUUUUUUAUUCAUCCAUACCCACUGCAUGUGUCAGUAUUUCAUUCCUUCUUGUUAUUGUGUAGUAUACAAAUAUAUAAAUAUAUCACAAUUUAUUUUUGC
This 743-nucleotide long non-coding RNA is filed under the name Homo sapiens (human). RNAcentral's name for it is "novel transcript, antisense to PGM5". Lineage: Eukaryota; Metazoa; Chordata; Mammalia; Primates; Hominidae. The record is from RNAcentral.